CCUGGUGACUAGAGCGAUACGGAAACACCUCUUCCCAUUCCGAACAGAGAAGUGAAACGUAUCAGCGCCGACGAUAGUACUUGGGAAACCUUGUAUGAAAAUAGGUCGUUGCCGGGC
RNAcentral lists this ribosomal RNA (117 nucleotides) under bacterium. The record is from RNAcentral.